CGGGCGAGGCGCCGGUCUAAGUCCCUUGGAACGGGGCGUCAGAGAGGGUGAGAAUCCCGUAUGUGACCGGUGAUCGAGCCUGUGUGAAACCCCUUCGACGAGUCGAGUUGUUUGGGAAUGCAGCUCAAAAUGGGUGGUAAAUUUCAUCUAAAGCUAAAUACCGGCCAGAGACCGAUAGCGCACAAGUAGAGUGAUCGAAAGAUGAAAAGCACUUUGGAAAGAGAGUCAAACAGUACGUGAAAUUGUUGAAAGGGAAGCGCUUGCAACCAGACCUGCCCGCGGGCGAUCAGCCGUCCUUCGGGGCGGUGCACUCGCCCGCGAUCAGGCCAGCAUCGGUUCGGGCGGUCGGAUAAAGGCCUUGGGAACGUGGCUCCCCUCGGGGAGUGUUAUAGCCCUCGGUGCCAUGCGGCCUGCCCGGACCGAGGACCGCGCUUCGGCUAGGAUGCUGGCGUAAUGGUUGUAAGCGGCCCGUCUUGAAACACGGACCAAGGAGUCGACCAACCAUGCGAGUGUUUGGGCGUCAAACCCACACGCGCAAUGAAAGUGAACGGAGGUGGGAACCUCUCGCGGGGCGCACCAUCGACCGAUCCAGAUGUCUUCGGAUGGAUUUGAGUACGAGCAUAGCUGGUCGGACCCGAAAGAUGGUGAACUAUGCCUGAAUAGGGUGAAGCCAGAGGAAACUCUGGUGGAGGCUCGCAGCGGUUCUGACGUGCAAAUCGAUCGUCAAAUUUGGGCAUAGGGGCGAAAGACUAAUCGAACCAUC
Molecule: ribosomal RNA, 763 nt
Filed under: Polycauliona ignea
Lineage: Eukaryota; Fungi; Ascomycota; Lecanoromycetes; Teloschistales; Teloschistaceae
Description: LSU rRNA
Rfam family: Eukaryotic large subunit ribosomal RNA
Source: RNAcentral